Molecule: ribosomal RNA, 692 nt
Filed under: uncultured Bacteroidota bacterium
Lineage: Bacteria; Pseudomonadati; Bacteroidota
Description: bacterial SSU rRNA
Rfam family: Bacterial small subunit ribosomal RNA
Source: RNAcentral
AGUCGAGGGAGAUUUUCGGGUUCGCCCGAAUUGAGACCGGCGCACGGGUGCGUAACACGUAUGCAACCUACCCUUAACUGGGGCAUAGCUCAGAGAAAUCUGAAUUAAUACCCCAUAACACUGCACUGUGGCAUCACAGAGCAUUUAAAGUUCCGACGGUUAAGGAUGGGCAUGCGUUGCAUUAGCUAGUUGGUGAGGUAAUGGCUCACCAAGGCUACGAUGCAUAGGGGGUCUGAGAGGAUGAUCCCCCACACUGGUACUGAGACACGGACCAGACUCCUACGGGAGGCAGCAGUAGGGAAUAUUGGGCAAUGGACGAAAGUCUGACCCAGCCAUGCCGCGUGCAGGAUGACAGCCCUCUGGGUUGUAAACUGCUUUUAUAUAGGAAGAAACCCUUGGAUGCGUCCGAGGCUGACGGUACUAUAUGAAUAAGGAUCGGCUAACUUCGUGCCAGCAGCCGCGGUAAGACGAAGGAUCCAAGCGUUGUCCGGAUUUACUGGGUUUAAAGGGUGCGUAGGCGGACCUUUAAGUCAGUGGUGAAAUCCCGCAGCUCAACUGCGGAACUGCCAUUGAAACUGAAGGUCUUGAAUAUGGUUGAGGUAGAUGGAAUAUAACAUGUAGCGGUGAAAUGCUUAGAUAUGUUAUAGAACACCGAUUGCGAAGGCAGUCUGCUAAACCAUCAUUGACGCUGA